Molecule: ribosomal RNA, 3076 nt
Filed under: Thermogladius calderae 1633
Lineage: Archaea; Thermoproteati; Thermoproteota; Thermoprotei; Desulfurococcales; Desulfurococcaceae
Description: bacterial LSU rRNA
Rfam family: Archaeal large subunit ribosomal RNA
Source: RNAcentral
CGGCGAGGAAGCCGCCUGGUGGAUGGCUCGGCUCGGGCGCCGAGGAAGGCCGUGGCAAGCUGCGAUAAGCCCGGGGUAGGCGCAGGCAGCCGUCGAACCCGGGAUCGCCUAAUGGGACCUCCUGCCACGGGCUUUAAGCCCGUGGCGCCCGGGAAACCGUCGAGGGAGUACCGGGCGGGAACCCCCCGAACGGAAACAUCUUAGUAGGGGGAGGAAGAGAAAUCAAACUGAGAUCCCCUGAGUAGGGGCGACCGAAAGGGGGAGAGCCCAAACCAAACCCCCACGGGACGACCGUGGGGGGAUGUGGGGUUACCGGCUCCACGGCUAGGGGUUCGACCCCGAGCGGGCCUACCCACGGUAGCCGAAGUGGCCUGGAAUGGCCCGCCGUAGAGGGUGACAGCCCCGUAGGCGAAACCGUGGGGGCUCGCGCCGUGGAGCAGAGUACCACGGCUUGGUUGUGCCGUGGGAAGUAGGGGGUCACCGACCUCCAAGGCUAAACACGUCCCGAGACCGAUAGCGAACUUAGUACCGUGAGGGAAAGCUGAAAAGCACCCCGCAAGGGGGGUGAAAAGAGCCUGAAACCAGGCGGCUACAUACGGCGCUGCCCUAAAGAGGUGACGCCCCCGAAGGAAACCGGGGCGACCCGGGAGUACGAGGGGGGUUGAUCAGGGUGGCGCCGUCCGUCUUGAAACACGGGCCGGGGAGUCCACGGCAGUGGCGAGCUUAAGGGGUUAAACCCCGUAGGCGUAGGGAAACCGACAUGCCCGCAACCACGGUUAAGCCGUGGCGAGGGGCGGGGUCCCAAAGGGCCCGGAGUCACUGCCGUGGGACCAGAAACCGGGCGAUCUAGGCGGGGGCAGGGUGAAGCCGGGGGAAACCCCGGUGGAGGCCCGAAAGGGUUCUGACGUGCAAUUCGUUCCCAUGACCCCCGUCUAGGGGCAAAAGACCAAUCAAGCCCGGUGAUAGCUGGUUCCCGCCGAAGUGGGUCUCAGCCCAGCCCCGCCUGAGGUGGGCCACGGGGUAGAGCUACGGAUUGGGGGUGCAGGAGCCGAAAGGCUCCGGCCUCCAGUCCAACUCCGAACCCGUGGUCACCGUAGAAGGCGGGAGUGGGGUUCCCCGCCGUAAGGGUGGGGGCCGAGAGGGGAACAACCCAGACCGGGGUUAAGGCCCCUAAGUGCCGGCUAAGUGCCAAUCUUAAAGGGCGUCCCACGGCUCAGACAGCGGGGAGGUGGGCCUAACAGCAGCCAUCCUCUAAGGAGUGCGUAACAGCUCACCCGCCGAGCCGUGGGGCCCCGAAGAUUGGUCGGGGCUUAAGCCGGCCGCCGAGACCCCGGGGCACGGCCCCUAUGGGGCCGUGAUCUGGUAGGCGGGCGUCGGGUCGGGGCAGAAGCCGGGCCGUGAGGUCCGGUGGACCCGAUCCGAGUGCAGAUCCCGGCGGCAGUAACAGCGAAGAGGGGUGGGAAUCCCCUCCGCCGGAAAGGACCAGGGUUCCUCGGCAACGGUCGUCGGCCGAGGGUUAGCCGGUCCUAACCCGGGCCGUAACUCGGACCCGGGGAAAGGGAAACGGGUUAACACUCCCGUGCCGCGGGGGUAGGCGCGGCAACGCAAGCCCAGCCUCCGACGCCUCCGGAUAGGCGGACUGGGGGCGGUCGAAUGACCGCGACCCAGCUAACCGGUGAAGGCCCCGGAGUACCGUAAUGGUGAGAAGGGGCUGAAGCCGGGAAUGGGGCCCCGUUAGGGGCCUUCCGCCGACUCCGGGGGCCCUUGAAAAGGGGGCUGGGAACGAUCCCCCGCGCCCGUACCGAGAACCGACACAGGUGCUCCUGGGUGAGUAGCCCCAGGCGUGUGGGGGUUAACCCGGGCCAGGGAACUCGGCAAAUUGGCCCCGUAACUUCGGGAGAAGGGGUGCCUGCGGUUCUGGGGCGCACCCCUGGAACCGCAGGUCGCAGUGCCUAGGGGGGCCUGACUGUUUAAUAAAAACAUAGGUCCCCGCUAGCCCGAAAGGGUUUGUACGGGGGCUGAAUCCUGGCCACUGGCGGUCCGUGAAACCGGGGUACAACCCGGCGAAGCGCCGCUGAAGGCCGGGAGUAACUCUGACUCUCUUAAGGUAGCCAAAUGCCUUGCCGGGUAAGUUCCGGCGCGCAUGAAUGGAUCAACGAGGUCCCCACUGUCCUGGCCCGGGGCCCCGUGAAGACACGGAGCCGGUGCACAGGCCGGCAACCCCCCGCAGGGCGAUAAGUCCCUGUGGAGCUUUACCGCAGCCUGGCGCUGACCUCUGGGCUGUGGUGCGUAGCGUAGGUGGGAGCUUGUGAAGCCACACCUCCGGGUGUGGCGGAGGCGCCAAUGAAACACCACCCACUACAGCCUGGGGGCCUCACCCCGGGGGAGACCCUGGGGGACAACGCCAGGUGGGCGGUUCGGCUGGGGCGGCACGCCCGCGAAAAGAUAACACGGGCGCCCAAAGGUCGGCUCAGGCGGGUCAGAGCUCCGCCGUAGAGUGCAAGGGCAAAAGCCGGCCUGACCGGACCCUUGAACACAAGGGGUCCGGCCGGGAAACCGUGGCCUAGCGAACGCUCGUGUCCCCCUCGGUGGGGGCCGGGCAUGACAGAAAAGUUACCCCAGGGAUAACAGGGUCGUCGCGGGCGAGAGCUCCCAUCGACCCCGCGGUUUGCUACAUCGAUGUCGGCUCUUCCCAUCCUGGGGGUGCAGCAGCCCCCAAGGGUGGGGCUGCCCGCCCAUUAAAGGGGAACGUGAGCUGGGUUUAGACCGUCGUGAGACAGGUCGGACUCUACCCGCGGGGGGCGCGGGCCGCCUGAGGGGAAGGUGCCCUCAGUACGAGAGGAACGGGGCGCCGCGGCCUCUAGUCUACCGGUUGUCCUGGCGGGCAACGCCGGGCAGCCACGCCGUGUGGGGUAACCGCUGAAAGCAUCUAAGCGGGAACCCCUCCCCGAGACGAGGCGGCCGUCCGUCACGGGGCCACCCGUGGCGGGUAGGGCUCCCGUAGAAGACGGGGUUGAUGGGGCGGGGGUGUGAGCCCCAAGGGUUCCCCCGAGGGGUUCAGCCCGCCGCUCCCAAA